UACAGAUAAACUUUCACAUACUGGAGA
RNAcentral lists this non-coding RNA (27 nucleotides) under Cricetulus griseus (Chinese hamster). Lineage: Eukaryota; Metazoa; Chordata; Mammalia; Rodentia; Cricetidae. The record is from RNAcentral.